CCGGCCGAGGGCGGGGGGGGGGCGGCGGGGAGGCGCUUCGUAGGGAGGAGGAAGGGCGGCUGCGGGCCUCGGGGGCGCGGUCCGACGGGCGAUGGUCGCCCCCGCCUCCACCCCUCCUCCCCCGUGGACGCCGAGUGGUGGUGCCCCCUCCGGCGGAGCGGGACUGCGGACGCAGCAGCGCUGACACCCCGCAGACGACCCCCACGGUCUACGUCCAGGCCUUCCCGGAGGGGAAACCGCCUUUAGCCCGAGCACGGCAGGGCCUCCAGCCUCUCCGGCCUCUGAAGUGUGCGGAAGUCAGGGAGGUUCACGGUCGGGCGCCCCUUCCCGCCCCUCACAGCCCGGGCAGCUGCUCUUCCCGCCGGGGGCCCUUGGUCCCGUGCCCCAGACCUCCCCCCGGCAAACCGCACCUAGACUCCAAAGCCACAGCCCCGCCACCCUGCGGCCCGCCCUGCGCAGCCGCGGCCACCACCCGACCCCACCGCAGCCGACUGACCUGGAGCAGCGGUGGUCACCACCCCCUCCACCCUGGCCGGUGACGACGCCCACCGCCUGCCCCAGUGUCCACCCCAAGCACUGGCGGCUCCCAUCCUCUCCCCCUGCCCCCCGCUCGCACCCCUCCCCAGCCAGGCCACCCACCCCUCACCCCCUCACCCCCUGAGGUCUGGGAUUGCAUGUCCUGGUUUGCACGGGCACCAGGGUGACUGCUGUGCAGAUCUCUGUGGUGCCCCCAGGUCCCAGGGGGCGAGGGCGCUUGGGAUGGGCCCGUUCUCCGGGGCCAGGGCCGCCACCCCUCUCUGCCCCUGUUUUCUUUUUAUUUUUUUUUAAAGACUUUAUUUAUUUAUUCAUGAUAGACACAGAGAGAGAGAGGCAGAGGGAGAAGCAGCCUCCACACAGGGAGCCUGAUGGACUCGAUCCCGGGUCUCCAGGAUCACACCCUGGGCAGCAGUCGGCGCUAAACCACUGCGCCACCGGGGCUGCCCGAAAUUUUGGAACUUUGAAGUGUGAUAUACACCCAGAAAAGUGUGCACGCGUCAUAACAGGGUCCUUGGGCCUCGGGGACAGCCCACCCCCCCACACACCAGCACCACCCCAGUGGAUUGUCCUCUAGGUUGCCAUGGUGAUCACUCCCUCUGCAAGGGGCUGGUGACGCCUAUGCCCCCAGGGCACUGCAGGGGCCUUCCUCCUGCUGUCCUUUCUGAGCUGGCUGCAGCUGCCCUCGGUGACCUGCUGGAGCCACUGAAUGCCGAACAGCCUUCAGCUUCUGCAGAGAUUUCUCGGAGGGUCCUAUACACAUGUGUGGGAUCUGUGUCCUCUUGCUGCUUUUCUCAAAUAGAUUUUUGGGGACGAGUCCAACAUCUCUUCCCUCUUGAUGGGCUGUGAGCGUAUUAGUAGUUUUAUAGUAGCCAACACUGCAGACAACCUUGAUGUCCAUCAUGUGGCCUAGGUGGGUCACAUCCCCUCAUGUACCUGGGUCAAGGAAGACUGCCACCCAGCUUGCACUCAGUGGGGUGUGUCCUGCCUCCCACUCACAUGGCCAGAACAAGGAGGAGGCAACUAAGUGUGAAUCUGUUCUAGAAGCUUCCAUCGGCUUUGAGGGAAAAUUCUUUAGAGUCACAGGCUUAGGGCUGGAAGGACGUCAGACUUGAAUCCUCUCAAGCUGCCUCAUCAACUGGAGCAUCUCCACUUUCUGGCAUCCUCAGCACUUCCCAUCCUGGCUGAGCUCUGCAGGGGCUGCUCCCAGAAGGCUUUGUUUGGGUGUCUGACCUGCCCCAAGGGAAGGGUCACAGCUGGCCCUGGAAACCCUUUUUGCCAACAGUGUUUCUAAGGAUAGGCUGUGACUUCAACCUGGUCCAUAAGAUAGAAGUGGAUGUCUGCUGGGGGCUUCUGGGAAGUUUUACCUGAGUUAAGAGAGGCAUGUGAGGAGAAAGCCCUUUAUCUCCCAUCUACCUUUGUUUUGGCGUAGCACACUGGAGUGUAGGAUGUAAUGCUUGGUGCUGCAGCAGCCAUCUUGAGACCAUGAGGAAAGACAAUGCCAAAUCAGUGAGAGCUACAGAAGGAGCCUGGAUCAUUUCAGUGGUUUUACUGCUGUUUAGUUAUUUUUAAAAUCCUGAAAAUUCAAACUAUGCAUUGAAUUAGCAUUGCUAAUCUAACAAAGUGAGCUGCACUAGUUCAGAAAGUGUGCUUGUGUACAUGCCUAAUCCUCAAGAGAAGAAAGCGCUAAGCAAAGCACAGCUUCCGUUGCAAGAAUAAUCCUUACUCUCAGCCAGACUUUUGAUGGACAGGAUGAUUUUGAAAGUGAGGUAAUAACUCAGCAGUGGCAUCUCUGAGGGCUCCUGGGACACUCUGGAGGUACUUCCUGUGGGGCAAGACCACUUCUCACUGUCAUUAGAGAAUGGUGUUCCACACACAAGCCCAGGGUACUCAUGUCUCCUCUGAGUUAUCAGCUUCCCACUAGCGUGGAAUGAGAAGGAGCAUUUUUGGACCUAAUAUAAUUAUCACAAAAGGCACCAUGACCCAGAGGUGACUCCCUGAGAUACUGUGUCUAAGAUGGUGCUUUAAAAAAUAGAAAAUCAUCCAGGGGCGCCUGGGUGAUGUAGUCUGUCAGCUGAGUGUCUGACUCUUGGUCAUGAUCUUGGUGGUAGGUUUGAACUCCGAGUCCUCUGCAUGCGGCGUGGAGUCUACGUGAGAUCCCCCCUCCCUCUCCCUUUGCCCCUCCCCUGCUCUCUCUCUUAAAAAAAAUAAAAAAGAGAAAGUAGUCCUAACUUCA
Molecule: long non-coding RNA, 2770 nt
Organism: Canis lupus familiaris (dog)
Lineage: Eukaryota; Metazoa; Chordata; Mammalia; Carnivora; Canidae
Exons: 2
Source: RefSeq, a predicted model, not a curated record